AGUUAUGAAUAUAAAAGUUGUUGGAGUUAUUAAUAUCUACAAGUUUUAUAUUUCUCAUCUUUUCGUUUGAGAAACUUUGGUCAAUUCAAAUUUUAAAAUUUGAAAAAGUUACAUCUUCAAACCGGAUUUUAAACCCCUAAAUUAUUUCAAAUGAAAAAAAUAAUGAAUACCAAACUAGUAGAACUCAUCAAGGUUUACAACUUUUAUAUUGAUCAUAUUUUCAUUUGAUAAAUUUUGAAUAAUUCAAAUUUUAAAUUUCAAAUAAUGAUAACUUCAAACUAGAUUAUGAAAUACUAAAUGAUCUGAGCUGAAAAAGUCAUGAAUAUAAAAGCUUUUUAACUCAUGAAGAUCUACAACUUUUGUUUUGGUCAUAUCUUCAUUUGACAACUUUUAUAUUGAUCAUCUUUUUAUUUGAUAAAUUUUGCACAAUUUAAAUUUUAAAUUUAAAAUACAAUACUUCAAAAUUUUACAUCUUUGUAGUUUUUUGGAAUUCAAAAUUUGAAUUAUUCAAACACAUAUUUCAAUUGUCUGCAGUUCAGUGCAUCCGUCACAGGAGGUCAUAAACACAUAUUUUCUUGUACUCUUGGCUGUUUUAUACACAUAACAAAAAAAUAAAAUAAGAAAAGAAAUAGAAAAAUAAGAAAAAGAAAAAGAAAAUCAACCCAGACUUCUCUCCUUCCACCCACUGGCCCAAAUCGGCCCACUUAAAACCCUAGACUAUAAAAUAGAGAACCCUCCCGAUAUCCCUACCUCGUUUCCUUAUCCCACUACAAGAAAUAUGUGAUUUUUUGACAUAUUUAAUAUGACACCAGGUCAUUAUGUCGUAAUAUUAUCUAGUUUAUGACGUUCUAGAUUAGGUAUUUGGAGUUACUGACAAUAAAAAGUUGUAUGUCACAACAAAUGUCAAACAACUAGCCUAAUUUCUUCUAGUGACAAUAUAUGCUAUGUCAUAAGGUUUAUUUUUCAAUGUCAUAAAUCUUUGACAAAGGCUGUGUGUCACAAGUUAUUUUAUUUAAUUAUUUUAAAUGCACUUUCCACGUUGGCAUUUAUAUUACCACCUAAGAUUAUUUUUAUUUUCUAUCUUCAAGAUGGGCCUCCUGCAGCACUAUAGAAGCAAUGCUUAUACAGGGUCCAUCCAACCAUUUGGUUAGAGAGUUUCUGCAACUACUUCACUCUGUAGCUAGAAACUGUGUGGCUA
Molecule: long non-coding RNA, 1198 nt
Filed under: Sorghum bicolor (sorghum)
Lineage: Eukaryota; Viridiplantae; Streptophyta; Magnoliopsida; Poales; Poaceae
Description: long non-coding RNA (SBIC_LNC007933)
Source: RNAcentral